Molecule: long non-coding RNA, 9789 nt
Organism: Salvelinus fontinalis (brook trout)
Lineage: Eukaryota; Metazoa; Chordata; Actinopteri; Salmoniformes; Salmonidae
Exons: 4
Source: RefSeq, a predicted model, not a curated record
AGCAGUAACAGCGUGCACAAUGGCUGAGGUCCCCUUUCCUCUCCAGCAAUUCUGGGGAAUGUGGCAGCUGCCUGCAGGGUGUGUCAGUGGAUCCCGGUAUAUCUCUGUGCAUUCUGUUCCCAACCAGAGGCAGUUCUCCCCUGAUGUGUGUGACCCCAAAAAUCUCUGUUAUAACUUUUAACCCUAAACCCAAAAAUAAGUCACAAACAAAACAAAACAAGCAGCAUCCGGUUAUUGAUAGACCUCACAAACCAUAUUUCCAUUUCAGUGCAAUCAUGCAGAAUGAUGGGUCAUCUUGAGACUGCUGAGUGCAGUAAAAUGUGUUUGCUAGUACCUGUGUGUGUGUGUUUCAAACUUAAUGACCCCAGACCAGCAACUGAAAUGUCAUAGCAACCCAAACCACUGACUCCCUGCCAAAUGUAAUUUACAGCUGUAUGGUCAUAAAUGACCGGUGGUAAAUAGCAUGUGCCAUAACUCUAUAUCAAACAAGAGGUAUUAGAUACCCUACCAGCAAACCUUUUUCUAUUUAAAUUAUUUAUGGAAUUAUUUCACAGGCCUAUAGAAAGCAUAAUUGAAGUGUUAAAUGAGUUGAAAUACAGACUUGUAAACAUUUUUUAUUUUUAUUGUAUAAAUUUUUUCAUUUAUCCUUUUAACUAGUUAAGAAAAAAUAAUUGGUGACAUAUGUAGUUCAGGUUAAAAUAAAUGGAAAUAAAUGGUUUACUACUUGUUCUUACUACAAAACGUUCUCAACAUGGUAGCACCGUUACCAUGGAGAUAAAAUACAUAUCCUGACGCUCUGAACGAAAAGACAGGAAAAUGGAGUCAGAAUACUUGAAAAGGGGUAUUGGAAAAUGCAUCAUAGAAGGAUUAGCUGGGGUGGCCGAGUAUCGCCCCAUGGACCCCAUCGAAUUUCUUGCACAGUGGAUUUACAAGUAUAAAGGAAACAUGGACCAUGAGAAGAGAAAAAAGGCCUUCCAGCAGCAACUGGAGCAGGAGCAUCAGAAAGCCAUGGAUGAGGCUGUGCACCAGAGGCAGAUGGAGGAAAAAUAUAAGAUCACAAGGGAGGUCCCAGAAGAAGAACCCAUGUAUGUAUGCACAUUUGUGGCCUGCUGGAGGUCAUUUUGCAGGGCUCUGGCAGUGCACCUCCUUGCACUAAGGCGGAGGUAGCGGUCCUGCUGCUGGGUUGUUGCCCUCCUACGGCCUCCUCCACGUCUCCUGAUGUACUGGCCUGUCUCCUGGUAGCGCCUGCAUGCUCUGGACACUCCGCUGACAGACACAGCAAACCUUUUUGCCACAGUUCGCAUUGAUGUGCCAUCCUGGAUGAACUGCACUACCUGAGCCACUUGUGUGGGUUUUAGACUCCGUCUCAUGCUACCACUAGAGUGAGAGCACCGCCAGCAUUCAAAAGUGACCAAAACAUCAGCCAGGAAGCAUAGGAACUGAGAAGUGGUCUGUGGUCACCACCUGCAGAAUCACUCCUGUUUUGGGGGUGUCUUGCUAAUUGCCUAUAAUUUCCACCUUUUGUCUAUUCCAUUUGCAGAACAGCAUGUGAAAUUUAUUGUCAAUCAGUGUUGCUUCCUAAGUUGACAGUUUGAUUUCACAGAAGUGUGAUUGACUUGGAGUUACAUUGUGUUGUUUAAGUGUUCCCUUUAUUUUUUUGAGCAGUGUAUAUACAGUUGAAGUUGGAAGUUUACAUACACCUUAGCCAAAUACAUUUAAACUCAGUUUUUCACAAUUCCUGACAUUUAAUCCUAGUAAAAAGUCUCUGUCUUAGGUCAGUUAGGAUCACCACUUUAUUUUAAGAAUGUGAAAUGUGCAAAGCUGUCAUCAAGGCAAAUAAAGGUUGGCUAUUUGAAUAAUCUCAAAUGUAAAAUACAUUUUGAUUUGUUUAACACUUUUUUGGUAACUACAUGAUUCCAUAUGUGUUAUUUAAUCGUUUUGAUGACUUUUGACUGGUACAUAUACUUAAAAAAAAUAUUUUUUAAACACAUAUUUAACCCCUUUUUUAAGUCUGCACAAAACUUUACUUUAUUUUUUUUCAACCGGUACCGGUUACCUUUCGACGAGUCCCGUGACACUUGUGGUCGUAGAGCAAAAUGGAGAACACCAUCGUGAGAGUCUCCCCUUUCCAUGGGAGUGGUCAUAAUAGUUUUGUAUGUCAAACCGUUCGGAACACUACCGAUGUUUUCUGAGAAGAUACAUUUCCGGGAUGUCUCAUGGUCUGGCAAACACCGCUGUAGCUCUGCCACCUUUCACUGCAGAUGCGGAAGUGCGCCAUAGGCGGCUCUGGUGGAUUGAGACGCAUCCAAUGCAAAAAAAAAAAAAAAACAGAUAUCUCUAGCUUAAACUGACAGAUUUUGAUGAGGAUUUUUGUGACUAUGUUACUUAGAUUGAAGCACCGGUGCGUCAAUUGACUCUAGGGGGAUAUUCAUCCCGUCAACAUAUCAGCAGAUAUUUCAAGAGGAGCCUAAAGGGUCUGGUCAGACCACUUGGGUCAUAUCACCAGGUGUCAUGGAGAAUGAACCGUUGAAAUCAGAGGUACCCACCACCUCCACCUACGAAAAUGAGCAGGUCACUGAAGAAAUUCGAGACGAAGAUAACACAGAACGGGAGGUGACAUCUUAACUGAUCACACGAAUACUGGGUGCCUUUGGUGGUUGCUAUAUUAUCCUAUCUUUCGCACCUCUAUGUAUCAUUUAAGGGCUUUUCCGGUUCUAUCCUUUUGCUGCUUCUGCACAUUCUUUUAAAGGCUUGCCCUCUCCCUGAGGCUAAGAAAUAAGGUUCGGAAAGGCUAGACUUUGCAGGCUAGAGCUGAGAGCGGAGACUAGAAAUCUACAGAUAUGGAUGAAUUUCUGCAAGGAUUCUAAUGUUGUUUUGUAUCACAAACUGGUCACCAGAUGAAUUAUACACCUGAAACCAGUGAACCUGCUGAUUCUACACAAUUAAAAGACGAGUCAAUCUCGGUACCAGAGAAUGAUGAUGUCAAACCAGACGAGACUCGUUCUGACGGGACAAAUGGAGGAUCCACAAGAUAAACACAAACCUCUUUCUCCUGAACAUCAGGGCCAAAAAAAGGUGAUGGCUUAUACCCAACAAGGAUUCAAAUGAGGGGAAUUAGAAAUAACAAACUAGAAAAUGAGAUAUGAAAGAACAUGGAGGAAUGUGUGCCAGACGAGAGAGGGAAGGAUAUCUAGACAAGACAGAAGGGAUACAUUGGACAGACAGAGAAAGUGAACAGAUUACUGAAAAAAUGAUAGCCAGUGGGAGACAGUCAAUGUUGUUUUCAGGACUGAAUGAUAGAAAAGAGAGUAGGAGCAAGAAUAAAAGAAGCGGGAAAGCGAAGAAUAAUCCAUGAGAAAAAUAUUUCUUUUUAGAUUUUUGGCUUGUCAGAAAACACAUAUCAAACGUUCAGAGGGCUGCUGUCAGAAAAGAAACACCAGCAAAUGAGGGAGGAUAAGGGCAUUCAAUGAACUGAACCAAGACAUUUUUUCCCAACAAACAUUUUCAGCAGGUGAUUGAUGAACCUGAUACACCUGAAACUAGUGAACCUGCUAAUUCUACACGAGUACAGCCAACCUCAGGACCAGAGAAUGAUGAUGUCCAACCAGACGAGAAUCACUCAGGACCCACAAGAGAGAGACAAACCACCUUCAUCUGACCAUCAGGACCAAGAGAAGGCUCCAUGUGACACAUACCCAAGACAGAUUGCAAUUAUUGAUUAUGAUUUGGAAUGUAUUUUAGAGAUAUGGAGGAAGAGGAGGACCAGUAAGAUGUGGAAUUUUGAUUUUCCUGCAUGACAUUAUCUGGACAAAGAAGCUUGUUCAAAUGCAAUGAUAGCAUAAAGAUCUAUAUGUUCUAACAUUCUACAUCUGAUUCCGUUUAUUUCAUUUAUUAGGAUCCCCAUUAGCUACUGCACAUGCAGCAGCUACUUUUCCUGGGGUCCACAUAAAAUGUGCAAAUACAUGACGAAGUACAGAACAGUAAUAGACAAGAACAACAUAAGAUAUUACAUUAAAUUCAAAAAAAUUUUUUUAAUCAAAUAAAAGUUAUAUACAAGAAAGACACCAAGAGACAACAAAACUACUAUUUACACACUAUUCAUAUAUAAUAUAUACAUAUUCAUAUAUACAGAGCAGUUAAAUUCAAUCUUUAAAAAGAGGAGAGGUGCUGUGAUACAAUAUGUUUUUUUAUCUGUAUUUUAAAAAGGUAAACUUGUUUUUUGCCUGAGUAAACUCUGGUGGCAGAGCAGUCCACAAUGACAUGGCUCUAUACAUAACUGAGCAAUGCAUUAAAUAUGUUUUUGGUUUGGGUACCAUGAAGAAACCCAAAGUGGUGUGCCAUGGCGAUUUUAUCAUGUCAAUCUUGGUGGGGCAAAAGCAACCAAUUUUUUUUUAGACGCAUGACAGCAAAGCCACUACACAACAUGUUAUUAUUUUAUUAGGCCUGUGUGGUCUAAAAAGGAAGGACAAUACAAUUACGAAGAUCCACUUUUAUAGACAAUAUACCGAAGCACUGACGGCGCAUUGCGCAAGCAAAACAACCCUGGGCAAUAUCAACUGGAAUUACAUGGGUCUAUCUAUACUACUGAACUUUUUGUUGAAAAAUAAUAUUUGAAUGGGAAGAGAUUGUCAUUGGAUAACAUGGUUACAGACCCAAAAAUAUUAUUUACUAUCCCCUCCUCGUGAUAAAAUGCACGUGAGAUAACAUAAUACAUAAUGAUGAAUUAGAUACUAAUGAGAUAGACCUACAGUGCAUUUAGAAAUUAUUCAGACUCCUUCACUUUCCCCAAAUUUUGUUACGUUUCAGGCUUAUUCUAGUUCCCCCCUCUCAAUCUACACACAAUACCCCAUAAUGACGAAGCAAAAACUUUUUUUUGAAUUUUUUGCAAAUGUAUAAAACAUAAAAACAGAAAUAUAAAAUUGACUCAGUACUUUGUUGAAGCACCUUUGGCAGCGAUUACAACCUCGAGUCCUCUUGGGUAUGACGCUACAAGCUUGGCACACUUGUAUUUGGGGAAUUUCUCCCAUUCUUCUCUGCAGAUCCUCUCAAGCUCUGUAAGGUUGGAUUAAGGACAUUCAGAGACUUGUCCCGAAGCCACGCCUGCAUUGUCUUGGCUGUGUGCUUAGGUUCGUUGUCAUGUUGAAAGGUGAACCUUCACCCCAGUCUGAGGUUCUGAGCGCUCAGAAACAGGUUUUCAUCAAGGAUCUCUGUACUUUGCUCCGUUCAUCUUUCCCUCGAUCCUUACUAGUCUCCCAGUCCCUGCUGCUAAACAACAUCCCCACAGCAUGAUGCUGCCACCACUAUGCUUCACCGUAGGGAUGGUAUUGGCCAGGUGAUGAUCGGAGCCUGGUUUCCUCCAGACCCGACGCUUGGCAUUCAGGCCAAAGAGUUCAAACUUAGUUUCAUCAGACCAGAGAAUCUUGUUUCUCAUAGUUUCAGAGUCCUUUAGGUGCCUUUUGGCAAACUCCAAGCGGGCUGUCAUGUGCCUUUUACUGAGGAGUGGCUUCCGUCUGGCCACUACCAUAAAGAACUGUUUAGUGGAGUGCUGCAGAGAUUGUUGUCCUUCUGGAAGGUUCUCCCAUCUCCACAGAGGAUCUCUGGAGCUUUGUCAGAGUGCUCAUCGGAAUGGGAGAAAGUGUGCUUUAUAGUAUUUUUAUUUACUGUACACUACAGUAGUUUGGAUGCUUUACUAACAUAACGUUGGUAACAGUGGAUUCUAUUACUAGGCAAAGUUGGUUUAACGUCGCUGUCCAAUGACCUGACAAGCCGUAGGCGCGUGGGUGAAAUCCUCCUCCAUGAUGUAAUCGGAACUAGGAAAGUCAGAAAUGUCCGACUUGAUAACUGGUUGAACGCGCACUUUUAUAACUGCAACCAGUUAGCAAGUCUGACAUUUCCCAGUUUUCUAGUUCCAAGUAGUACGUGAACAUGCCAUUAGUCAGAGACACUGUAUAUAAUGACGAGAGGGUCUUGUCUCCGCCCAAACAAUGGGAGUCAUUGUCCCAAAGGCGGUUGGUCUGCUUAUCGCUGUAUUCGCGCGUGGAAGCGAUUUUGACGGGAGAGGACCCUCUCGCUUUGCCGCCAUCUCUCUGGGUUAGUCCAAGGUAUACAUGGCAUCGAAGCAUGUGACAUCCUGACUGUAAUUUGGUCAGGCAGGUUGAGGAAAGUAAGCUCAAGAAACCAUUAUCAAAGAAACCAUUAUCAACAAGAACUUGGCUGUUCAUCAUAGCCCAACAUUCAGUCUAUAUGAAAUUGUAGCAUGUUAGGAAAUAUUUGAGCAACAUUUAUCCCCAUGAGUUCGCAUAUAACUUUUGGUUAUUCAAUUGGAUGAGAUAUCUGACCUGCAUGAUAUCUGACUUACAGUAGAGGUCAACCGAUUAUGAUUUUAACACCGAUACCGAUUAUUGGAGGACCAAAAAAAGCUGAUACCGAUUAAAUCGGACGAUUUUUAUGUAUAAACUCAGUAAAAAAAGAAACGUCUCUCACUGUCAACUGUGUUUAUUUUCAGCAAACUUAACAUGUGUAAAUAUUUGUAUGAACAUAACAAGAUUCAACAACUGAGACAUAAACUGAACAAGUUGCACAGACAUGUAACUAACAGAAAUUGAAUAAUGUGUCCCUGAACAAAGGGGGGGGGGUCAAAAUCAAAGUAACAGUCAGUAGCUGGUGUGGCCACCAGCUGCAUUAAGUACUGCUGUGCAUCUCCUCCUCAUGGACUGCACCAGAUUUGCAAGUUCUUGCUGUGAGAUGUUACACCACUCUUCCACCAAGGCACCUGCAAGUCUCCGGACAUUUCUGGGGGGAAUGGCCCUAGCCCUCAGAACACUGACACUCCUUCCUGUCUUGCAGGAAAUCACACACAGAACGAGCAGUAUGGCUGGUGGCAUUGUCAUGCUGGGGGGUCAUGUCAGGAUGAGCCUGCAGGAAGGGUACCACAUGAGGGAGGAGGAUGUCUUCCCUGUAACGCACAGCGUUGAGAUUGCCUGCAAUGACAACAAGCUCAGUCCGAUGAUGCUGUGACACACCGGCCCAGACCAUGACGGACCCUCCACCUCCAAAUCGAUCCCGCUCCUGAGUACAGGCCUCGGUGUAACGUUCAUUCCUUUCUUCCUCACCCCUGGUGAGACAAAACCGCAACUCGUCUGUGAAGAGCACUUGUUGUUGCCGGUGAUGUCUGGUGAGGACCUGCCUUACAACAGGCCUAUAAGCCCUCUGUCCAGCCUCUCUCAGUCUAAUGCGGACAGUCUGAGCACUGAUGGAGGGAUUGUGCGUUCCUGGUGUAACUCUGGCAGUUGUUGUUGCCAUCCUGUACCUGUCCCGCAGGUGUUGCCUCCUUACAUGUGGUCUGCCACUUCGAGGACGAUCAGCUGUCCGUCCUGUCUCCCUGUAGCACUGUCUUAGGCGUCUCACAGUACGGACAUUGCAAUGUAUUGCCCUGGCCACAUCUGCAAAUCAAAUCAAAUGUAUUUAUAUAGCCCUUCUUACAUCAGCUGAUAUCUCAAAGUGCUGUACAGAAACCCAGCCCAAAACCCCAAACAGCAAGCAAUGCAGGUGUAGAAGCACGGUGGCUAGGAAAAACUCCCUAGAAAGGCUAAAACCUAGGAAGAAACCUAGAGAGGAACUAGGCUAUGAGGGAUGGCCAGUCCUCUUCUGGCUGUGCCGGGUGGAGAUUAUAACAGAACAUGGCUAAGAUGUUCAAAUGUUCAUAAAUGACCAGCAUGGUCAAAUAAUAAUAAUCACAGUGGUUGUCGAGUGUUGAGAGUAUCUCUACCGCUCCUGCUGUCUCUAGAGAGUUGAAAACAGCAGGUCUGGGACAGGUAGCAGGUCUGGGACAGGUAGCACGUCCGGCGAACAGGUCAGGGUUUCAUAGCCGCAGGUAGAACAGUUGAAAGCAGCAGCACGGCCAGGUGGACUGGGGACAGCAAGGAGUCAUCAUGCCAGGUAGUCUCAGGUCUUCCGAGAGAGAAAGAGAGAAUUAGAGAGUUCAUACUUAAAUUCACACAGGACACCGGUUAAGACAGGAGAAGUACUCCAGAUAUAACAGACUGACCCUAGCCCCCCGACACAAACUACUGCAGCAUAAAUACUGGAGGCUGAGACAGGAGGGGUCAGGAGACACUGUGUCCCCAUCUGAUGAUACCCCCGGACAGGGCCAAACAGGCAGGAUAUAACCCCACCCACUUUGCCAAAGCACUGCCCUCACACCACGAGAGGGAUAUCUUCUACCACCAACUUACCAUCCUGAGACAAGGCCUCGUAUAGCCCACAAAGAUCUCCGCCACGGCACAGCCCAAGGGGGGGCACCAACCCAGUCCUCAUGCCUCCUUGCAGCAUGCCCAAGGCACGUUCACGCAGAUGAGCAGGGACCCUGGGCAUCUUUCGUUUGGUGUUUUUCAGAGUCAGUAGAAAGGCCUCUUUAGUGUCCUAAGUUUUCAUAACUGUGACCUUAAUUGCCUACCAUCUGUAAGCUGUUAGUGUCUUAACGACCGUUCCACAGGUGCAUGUUCAUUAAUGUGUAUGGUUCAUUGAACAAGCAUAGGAAACAGUGUAGGGCACAACUUAAGAUCUUUGAAGUUAUUUGGAUUUUUACAAAUUAUCUUUGAAAGACGUUGUUACACGUGGUCUGCCACUGCGAGGACGAUCAGCUGUCAGUCCGGUCUCCCUGUUCUUUUUUUUAAUUGAACAAAACUUAGAUCUCCUAAACCAGUGUUAACCUCAGACCUUAUUUUUGGCGUUUCUCUAAAAACCCUACAAAUUUUUUUUGGGGGGGGGGUAAAUAGUGAAGACAUCACAACUAUGAAAUAACACAUAAGGAAUCAUGUAGUAACCAAAAAAGUGUUCAUAGUUUAUGUCUUCACUAUUAUUCUACAAUGUAAAAGAAUAGUACAAAUAAAGAAAAACCCUGGAAUGAGUAGGUGUGUCCAAACUUUGGACUGGUACUUUAUAUAUUUACCCCCAAAAAUAUGGGGGAUUGGAAAUGGAGACAAUUAUAUUGAUGGGAGUAACACUCUAUCUGCAAUAUUAAAGCUGACCUACCCCCUGAUGUUGUAGUCCUUGACUAAAGACUGACUCACUUCACAGAAAAAUGGGGUUUGGUUUGAAGUUCCAAGACCUAAAGCCUAGGAGCAACACAAACAGAAGCUCCACAGGCUAUAGUGAAAAGUGAAGGUCUGAAGGAAUUAUGUGGGCUAAUAGGAAACUUCUGUUCCCUCUAUGGUGACCCAGGAGGAUCUGACCAAUCAAACAAGGGGAGGAAGCAACCUGCCGCCAUGGGAACCAGCAGCCAGUGACUUGUGUGCUGUCCUAAAGCAUCAAGCCACUCUGAGCCAAUAGUAGACCAGUUCACACAAUUCUUCCUUUUACAUUAGUUGUUAUGUUGUGUUAUUUAUCAGACACUUUUGUAUAUUAUGCUAAAUAAAUAUACACAUCUAUGUAUAGACAUUUCUUAGAAUUAUACUUAAAUCAUUAACACCGGCUAAUUUAUGCAAACUAAUUUGAGUGCCUUCCAGGUCCCCUGUGAAGUGAACUAGUGGUUGUUUGUCUGAGCCAGUGUGGAGAGGUGGUUGGGAGUGCUGCUAGUGACCAGAAGAUGGCAGGCUUAGAUCACAUCCACCUGUCAGUCAUGAACAUGUUGAUAUCAGUUGUAAACAUGCCCUAAGUUUCUCAAAUUCUUGGCGUCAAGAGAAGUGUGUACACAAUCUAGAUACAGGAGGAGAGUGACAUGUUAUCACAAUGUACGUGUAUAAACAGGGCUUAACAUAAUACAAUAAAAGAGUAUCUGAUCAUUUUUUA